RNAcentral lists this long non-coding RNA (2246 nucleotides) under Cottoperca gobio. RNAcentral's name for it is "lncRNA (ENSCGOG00000006304.1)". The record is from RNAcentral. Lineage: Eukaryota; Metazoa; Chordata; Actinopteri; Perciformes; Bovichtidae.
UUCCCUUGUGUGCAUGUGUGUGCUUUUUUAUAGAAAUGUGACCUCGUGCCUUUCAAAAGCAACAAAUAUCCUUUUUGUUGUUUGUCGUCUCUUUUCCGCAGCAUUGUCCUCCAAAAGUAAGCCAUCAGCAUGCCCCACUGAUGAGACUCCGAAGACUUCAAGGACAUCCAUCAAGACACCAACCUCCACGUCACAAAAGCCCAAUUGCCCCCCCAAUGUCUAUAACUCAAAACCUGACUGUGGAUCAAUACAACAUGUGUCCUCUCCCUCAUCAGCACAUUCCCAAAGAGAGAUUCCUAAAUCUUCACCCUCGCCUGUCUCGUUUCCGCCUGAUGUUUCUCCUUUUACUAGAACCAGAUCUCCAAUCCCAGAAGAGCAUCUCUCCCCCUUCUCCAUCCAUGUCCUCCUCCCUCAGAUCUACGUUCACAGUCUCACCGUCAAGCUCCACUGAAUCAACCUUAUUGCCCAACAUUUACCAAUCUACGCUAUUACAGAAAGGCUCAGACCUGUCUCUGUUACCAGAGCCGCCCCAAUCAUCCCAGUUAUUCCCACAACCAAUCUCAUCACUGGAGAUUUCCCAAUUGCCCCCAAGGCAAUCCCAACAAUCGUGCUGUGACCCAGAGUCUCUGCUAUCAGACAAUCAGCUCCAGCUGCCUCGGUCACCUGCGUUGUCUUCCAGUCCAACCCCCCCACCAAAAUAUGUGACACCAAGUCCACCUGUAAAGAAACUAUCCAGUGUGUCUGUAUUUAACGAGUCCCCUCUAGAUGCAUAUUGUAGUCAUGAGUCAACUUUAACAGAGGAUUCUUCAGUUUGUAUGUCCUCCACCGACAUCUCUGGUGACCACGAGUCCACUCAGGAUACGCGGUGUAUCCCGCCACUUCCAUCGCAUUUCUCACAUGGCAUCCAGAAUCCUCCUUUAGAUGUAGGAAUGGAGGAGGAAGAGGAGGAAGAGGAGCUAUCGAUAGACAGCGGGGAUGAAAUGUCCAGCGACAGCCUGGGUCUGGCUCCGCACGAGGAAGACUCUUCAGACGAAGAAGCACAGACGCACGCACGUUUAACGAGCGGGAGAUCCGGAGAAGAAAAGCGAUGGAAUCCUGCCUCAUCUCAGACCGAAGAUCUCUUUGUUCCUGAAGAUGCAGACAGAGAAGAAGAGUUGCAGACGGAUGAGCGAGAACAGCCGUCAGAUCCAUCCACGGUGAUGCGCCACCAGAGUGCUGGGUCUCCAUCAGAGCGGUUCUGUGAUCCGGAAGGGUUUCCGCCUCAGGGUUUGGACAGGACUUCUGGUCUCUCCGACACACAAGAACACACACGUUGUGACCCCCCGCUGCACACAUGCCGAGCUCCCCCGCGUGAUUCAGAGCCAACAGGGUCAGAGGGUUAUGGACCCAGCCGCAGCCUCAGUACCUACACUAAGGAACAUCUGGAUUCUGGACUGAUAAAGGACAACCACACGCAGCCAACUGGAAUUCAAAUUCACUUAACCAGACCCACCAGGAGAGAAGAAAUAUCAGCAAAUGAACUAGGAACAUCUGGGUCUGGCAAGUCCACACCAACUCCGUCUCAACAACUCACCGUCCAAAGACAAACCCACGCCAUCUCUCGUUCUCCAUCUCCUCCACUCUCUGCCUGCCUGUCCCGUCCCACAUCGGGCUCAGAAUUGGGUCCAGCAUUUCAUCCGUUGUCCCGGGCUGCCCAGGAGAUCAUGGAGAUCUGUGGCGUGGACCAGACGGGCUGUGAGGACCCUGACCUGGACACUGACACGACUGCACACACACUCCACUGUCUGGAGCAGGAACUCAGAUUCAUGGCCGACGCGAAGCAGGAAACAGUAUUUGGCACUGGAAGCAGUGAUAGUCCGGAUCAGCAUGGACAUCUUCGUUUGUCGCGGGGCAGAGCCAGCGAGGAACAAAAGGAUGAGGAGGCGGCUGCACAGAGGGACUGGCAGAGUGUCCUCUUACUACCCUGAGAUAUUCACACACACGUAACACGAGCACACACACUUACUUGUUAAAUAAGGAAGAAGACUUGAACACAGAGAUAUAAGAGACUGAAGUGAGAGAAACACACAAGAUGUAAUUUGAAUUGCGUGUGGCGUAAAGGCUGGAGCAGAUCUCUUGGAUCUCUUGCGCAAAUAGAUGAAGAUAAAAAUGUAAUGGUUUGAAAGACAUUGCUGAUAACGAUUAAAUGCUGUUUUAAUUUGAGGUAUGAUUUGUGUCUCUUUCUGUCCAUGUUUUCUGUGCACAAU